GGUCCGGUGGCGCAGUGGCUAGCGUGGUAGCCUCUCGCCCCAGUAUGGCCUGGGUUCAAUCCCAGACGGACCC
Transfer RNA from Culex pipiens (northern house mosquito), 73 nucleotides. It matches the Rfam family "tRNA". Rfam says of the family: Transfer RNA (tRNA) molecules are approximately 80 nucleotides in length. Their secondary structure includes four short double-helical elements and three loops (D, anti-codon, and T loops). Lineage: Eukaryota; Metazoa; Arthropoda; Insecta; Diptera; Culicidae. The record is from Rfam.